UAGGGACACACUGGGCCAGGACGCAGAGCCAGGAAUGCUGAGAGAGGCUUUACUCAAAAGGGGGUCGCAGCUUUCCCAGAGCCACUGUUUCUCAUCUGGGUGAAGAAGUGAGGAAAGGGACAGGUGUGAGCAGAGAGGACCAGAGGCUUUUCCUGACCCUGUGGCCUCAGGAAUACAGGUCAAUGAAUGACAAACUUCCAUGGAACUCAACCCAAAGAAAUUCUUUACAUUCCAAAGUCACUCUGAAAGAUAGCAGCCUUCCUCAUCUCCUCAGAAUCUUGCAUGGAACCAUAAUUCUGUGGAAAUCUGCAUAUGCAUUCCUUCCUGGUUCAGCCACAGCAAACUUAUAAAGCUGCUUCCCCCAGAGAUACAACGGAUGCUCCCACAAUAUGAAAGCGCAGACACUUGGCCAGAAGGCCACGCAGCUGGGGUUUCGCCGAAGCACGGGGAGCCGUGGUGGGUCUUCUCCUCAACCCCAGCAUCCUUCCUGACCCCACAGUGACAUUCGCGUCUCCUGGAAUCUGUAUGAGUCCAGAGCCCGGGUCCCAUAAGCCCGAAAUAUCUGCUCACUUUUCCCCAGGGCACAGUCACCCUGGCGGAGGUCCCUUUGGGAAAGGCUGGGAGAGAUUAACAAUAUACAUUUUGGGCGCUACAGCCAGGUCCUUCCUCCAGGGGUCCCCGCUUCCAGUUCCUUCAGGAGUUCUGGGUCUGUAAAUGAACUCAUGUCUGGGAAUUGAUCGAGGGGUCAUGGCUUUCUGCCUUUAUGAUUCAAGUUAGACUUCUGCUCAUACAGACGAUCAGCAUCCCAUCCAUGUCACUUGUAGGAGCGCCAUGAUCAACCAGCCCCUGCCACAGGACUGUCCUGCCUGCUGCUGACUCUGUGGUGCAUCACAGUCACCACACCCACCUUGCCUUUGCCUGCCAAGUGCUGCCGCUUGGCCCUGCUGCCUGGGGAUCUAAUGACCCCCCACGGCACUCAGGUGGCCCAAAGCAGAGCCCGAAUCUCUGCUGAGUGAGCCUCGAUCAGUAAAUUCCACCUGACCCAACUUUACCUUCCUUCCACCAUUAUCCCAGCCCUUAUAUCCAUUCCCACACAUAUUCCCCAGGUUUCUGUCAAUAUAAACUGGGGAAAUCAUGUUCUUUUGGAGCACAGCACACAUUCUCGUUGGUCACGUUUCGCACCUCCCCCUGCAGGGCCUGGGGCAUGCUGCCUCAGGGCUUUUGCACAUGCUGUGUGCUACCUGGGAAGCUCUUCUCCUUGCUUCUCUCACCUUGUUUCUCUUUGCUUCUCUGACGACCCUUCCUUGGCAUCCUCCUCCCUGAUCACUGGGGCCAAAGCACCAGCCCCAUAAUCGCCCCCUCCCCACAUUCUAGCGUCACUCUUCUGCAGUGGUGACUCAUGGCCUUCAUCAUCACUGACAUGAACUGACUGUCCCAACUAUGCUGUAGGACCUUGAGGGCAGGCCCUCUCUGUCUUGCUCACAGCUGCAUCCCCGGCACCAAGGCUAGCACCUGGCACAGAGCAGACGCUCCAUAAAUAUUUCUGGAACAAAUGAAACAACACGCAAAGCCUGCUGCUUGUGGCCAAGCAUCCCUGAUGCUGUUAAUACAGACAGCAGGCCUGGGCUUCAUUUGUUUAUUGACCGUCUCCUGACUACUCCAGAGAGGAUUCAAGAUGGGGGUGGGGAAGCUUCACGUCACCCACCCUCCCAGGCGGUAAGGGCUUCAGAGCGUGUGCGGUAAGGUACGGUCACCGUAUCCUGGGAAGGUGUGACCUGUCGCCUGUGAGCUCCGGCGUCACCAGCCUUGUGCAGCGGAGGAAAUGGAGCAAUAGCUGCUUUCCUGAGCCGGAAGGAGACAAGCUGCACCUGCCCAGAUUGUGAAAUGGGUGCAGGGUUUCUCCUUUCGUAACUGAGAGAUCAGGAAUCUGCCCCUCCCUGCUCCUCCAGCGGGUCACAGGUCCUCACCACUCUGGCCGCCCCGAAGGGUUUAACCAGAGUGAAUCAUGCAGUGACUGGGCUGGAGCAGCCGGCUGGGGCUGCCUCCGUUUGCAUUCUGUCUCCUGGAACAGCCUGAGGAGGUGGACAUGAGCUUUGCCGAGGGCCAGAGUCCAGCUCAGAGCUGGACCCCACGGGGUGGGUGCAGACAGAGAAGGUGGGGGCGCACAGUCAUUCAGAGACAAGCUAGGCCUGGGGCCCACCCCGAGACUCCUGUGUGAGCGGAAGGCUAAGACGAGCCUGCACGGGGCCUCACAGGCCCGUCCUGGCAGCGGGGUACAGGCCAUCCACGGCAAACCCGUGCUUUUCCCAAGGGGGACCUGUGCAGGGCCAAGGCCUCGGGCACUUUCCUGAUGUUUCAGCUACCCCCGCUCCCCUGUCUGAACGUCUGGGGUUCCAGUUCCAAGGUGGGAUGGCCGGACUGUAGCCACGGUGCUGUGUCCAUCUGGGAUGGGUGUGGGCUGCCCGCCUACUGCCCCUGGGAGGCAGAACUUUCUUUGCCUGAAAGAAGGGAGGGGGGGAGAGAAAAACAAGUCACUGCUAAUUUAUGCCUCAGACACGGUUGCCUGAGCUAGCCCACUCCCGCUCUAGCCUGCAGGCUGGGGGCCGGGAGGACCCAGACGCCCAGCUUGGGGAAGGCCGGAUGCCGUUUUGUUCCUUGAGAUCCACAGGAAAACCCUGAGUCUCUUCUUCCACACGGACGGAGCACGAAUAAGCACAAAAGGACAAAAGUAUUCUCGCACCCUCACCUUGUGCGGGCCCUGAGGGACACCCUCGCUUAGCCCUGGGGUGACAGCAGCAAGCAGGUGCUGUCAGCAGCCCCAUCUUACACAGGACAAAACCGAGAUUAGGACCCGGCCACGGUCCUGCAGGCGGCAAGCAAGGAGCCGGGAUUUGAGCUACAAAGCGUGCAGGGGAAUCUACAGGGCGGCUGGGCGUGCAGACAGAAUGGGUGAUUGUGAGGCUCUGUGAGAGCAAGAGAGCAAGGGGCCGGAGAGGAGGCCGAGCCCAGAGAAAGUGCACACAGACGACAGCAGCUCCCCAGAUGAACUACCAGAACAAGAAUCCGGCCCCCAGGAGCGCACACUGGAGCCAUCGCUACAUGCCAGAGCCCAGGUGCACCGCGUUACGCAGCUGUCCUCAAAGGCCCAUGACAGAGGCUCUGUGAUUGCCCCCCAGUGUAGGGAGGAGGCGGGCUCAGAGAGGCUGAGGAGCAAGCCCGCAGCCACACAGCCCUGGGCCCCAGGCUCUAUCCAGUUCUGCCUCCCACUCCAGGCACAGGGAAGGGCCAGGCCUCUGGAGAAAACCCUUCGCCACAUCCACCCCCAGAUGCCCCUUUUCAAGGCACAGAUGAUCAACCAGGCACAGGAGGCAGGACACCUGCCCCCUUGUCCCUGCCCCACCGCCACUUUUUGGGGUGGCCCUGGGCAGGUCCUGGGCAGUGUGCUUUGGUGCCCCCAUGCUUUGUCACUGUGAGCGGACAAGAACAGUGUGUCCCCUGCCCCUGGGCCCCUGAAAUGUACACCAGGCCUGUGCCCCUUGGCAGGACAAGCUCACCUUUAGGGACGAACUUCAGCGAGCUGCUGAAUAUUCAGAAGCGGGACUGCCCCCGCUUGGGGCCAUCAUUCAGAAACUCAUGGCCCAGCCCGUUGCCACACUUGCCACAGGACACCUGGGAAGACCACCAAACAGCUGAAACAAUGGCCCUUCCUGCCACCAGCAGACGGUGUCCUUCUCACGCCCUUUUCUCAAGGUAACUGCUGGCAGGCAAGGCUGACCUCUGUCCUGGAGCCCUCACAGGAAAGCCACCCUGCUUCCCUUUGCCCACCAGGACCCCAGGCUUGCCCAAUAGUUUGGAGUGCAGCUCCCCUGGCUGGGAUAGACAGACGCUAAGCCCCUGGAGCUGUCCAGGAGCAGAAGGAAGGAAGGGGUGGCCAGCUCUCAGGCCCUCCCUGGCCAACAUCCCCUCCCCACCCCCUGCUGCUGCCACUCACCUUUA
RNAcentral lists this long non-coding RNA (3996 nucleotides) under Equus asinus (donkey). RNAcentral describes it as "lncRNA (ENSEASG00005025983.1)". Lineage: Eukaryota; Metazoa; Chordata; Mammalia; Perissodactyla; Equidae. The record is from RNAcentral.